RNAcentral lists this ribosomal RNA (484 nucleotides) under uncultured bacterium. RNAcentral's name for it is "partial 16S ribosomal RNA". It matches the Rfam family "Bacterial small subunit ribosomal RNA", at positions 28 to 507 of the family's 1533-position model. The record is from RNAcentral.
AUUGAACGCUGGCGGCAUGCUUUACACAUGCAAGUCGAACGGCAGCGCGGGCUUCGGCCUGGCGGCGAGUGGCGAACGGGUGAGUAAUGCAUCGGAACGUGCCCAGUAGUGGGGGAUGGCCCGGCGAAAGCCGGAUUAAUACCGCAUACGACCUGAGGGUGAAAGCGGGGGACCGAAAGGCCUCGCGCUAUUGGAGCGGCCGAUGUCGGAUUAGCUAGUUGGUGGGGUAAAGGCUUACCAAGGCGACGAUCCGUAGCUGGUCUGAGAAGACGACCAGCCACACUGGGACUGAGACACGGCCCAGACUCCUACGGGAGGCAGCAGUGGGGAAUUUUGGACAAUGGGGGCAACCCUGAUCCAGCCAUGCCGCGUGCGGGAAGAAGGCCUUCGGGUUGUAAACCGCUUUUGUUCGGGAAGAAAUCCUCUGGGCUAAUACCCCGGGGGGAUGACGGUACCGGAAGAAUAAGCACCGGCUAACUACGUG